CACUAGGCUACCUGCAGUCGAGCGGUAACAUUGGUAGCUUGCUACCAGAUGACGAGCGGCGGACGGGUGAGUAAUGCUUAGGAAUCUACCUAGUAGUGGGGGAUAGCUCGGGGAAACUCGAAUUAAUACCGCAUACGUCCUACGGGAGAAAGCAGGGGAUCUUUGGACCUUGCGCUAUUAGAUGAGCCUAAGUCGGAUUAGCUAGUUGGUGGGGUAAAGGCCUACCAAGGCGACGAUCUGUAGCUGGUCUGAGAGGAUGAUCAGCCACACCGGGACUGAGACACGGCCCGGACUCCUACGGGAGGCAGCAGUGGGGAAUAUUGGACAAUGGGGGGAACCCUGAUCCAGCCAUGCCGCGUGUGUGAAGAAGGCCUUUUGGUUGUAAAGCACUUUAAGCAGUGAAGAAGAAGUUAUGGUUAAUACCCAUAAUGGAUGACAUUAGCUGCAGAAUAAGCACCGGCUAACUCUGUGCCAGCAGCCGCGGUAAUACAGAGGGUGCGAGCGUUAAUCGGAAUUACUGGGCGUAAAGCGAGCGUAGGUGGCUUAAUAAGUCAGAUGUGAAAUCCCCGGGCUUAACCUGGGAACUGCAUCUGAAACUGUUCGGCUAGAGUAGGUGAGAGGGAAGUAGAAUUCCAGGUGUAGCGGUGAAAUGCGUAGAGAUCUGGAGGAAUACCGAUGGCGAAGGCAGCUUCCUGGCAUCAUACUGACACUGAGGUUCGAAAGCGUGGGUAGCAAACAGGAUUAGAUACCCUGGUAGUCCACGCCGUAAACGAUGUCUACUAGUCGUUGGGUCCCUUGAGGACUUAGUGACGCAGCUAACGCAAUAAGUAGACCGCCUGGCGAGUACGGUCGCAAGGUGAGACUCAAAUGAAUUGACGGGGGCCCGCACAACGGU
This 895-nucleotide ribosomal RNA is filed under the name Psychrobacter aestuarii. Its description in RNAcentral is "bacterial SSU rRNA". It matches the Rfam family "Bacterial small subunit ribosomal RNA", at positions 40 to 933 of the family's 1533-position model. Lineage: Bacteria; Pseudomonadati; Pseudomonadota; Gammaproteobacteria; Moraxellales; Moraxellaceae. The record is from RNAcentral.